GACGAACGCUGGCGGCGUGCCUAAUACAUGCAAGUAGAACGCUGAAGAGAGGAGCUUGCUCUUCUUGGAUGAGUUGCGAACGGGUGAGUAACGCGUAGGUAACCUGCCUUGUAGCGGGGGAUAACUAUUGGAAACGAUAGCUAAUACCGCAUAACAAUGGAUGACACAUGUCAUUUAUUUGAAAGGGGCAAUUGCUCCACUACAAGAUGGACCUGCGUUGUAUUAGCUAGUAGGUGAGGUAAUGGCUCACCUAGGCGACGAUACAUAGCCGACCUGAGAGGGUGAUCGGCCACACUGGGACUGAGAAACGGCCCAGACUCCUACGGGAGGCAGCAGUAGGGAAUCUUCGGCAAUGGGGGCAAGCCUGACCGAGCAACGCCGCGUGAGUGAAGAAGGUUUUCGGAUCGUAAAGCUCUGUUGUAAGUCAAGAACGGGUGUGAGAGUGGAAAGUUCACACUGUGACGGUAGCUUACCAGAAAGGGACGGCUAACUACGUG
RNAcentral lists this ribosomal RNA (497 nucleotides) under uncultured bacterium. RNAcentral describes it as "partial 16S ribosomal RNA". It matches the Rfam family "Bacterial small subunit ribosomal RNA", at positions 28 to 507 of the family's 1533-position model. The record is from RNAcentral.